Long non-coding RNA from Ylistrum balloti, 3254 nucleotides. RefSeq lists it as uncharacterized. The transcript has 2 exons. The record is from RefSeq and is a predicted model, not a curated record. NCBI's taxonomy places the organism in Eukaryota, Metazoa, Mollusca, Bivalvia, Pectinida, Pectinidae.
UACUUGUAAAACUUUUUUAUUUAUUUGUUAAUUUUAUUUAUUUUUUUAUUGUUUUUGUUAUCUUUUACUGUUUUGUCUGUUAAUUUCAAAAUCCAUCUUCUUUAAAAAUAUUUCUGUAAUAGAUAGAACACUUGGGAAAAGGGCCAUAAGGUAGCAUUCAAGCAGUAAGUUACAUUUUCAAAUUAAAUGUUUUUCAAAAUUGGGAUUUAUAUUUCAAUUUGAGUCCAAAAACGUUUUUUUAUUUUGUUGUCUUUCAAAUGAAAAUGUCUGGAACUUCAAUUUUACGUUGAUGUGUCAUGUUAAAUGCUUGUCCUGGUACCUAGGAGAUUUGCUAAGCUAUUGUGUGAUUGAAUACACAUUGGUGUAUUGUUUUACAGAAGGAUUCCGCCAUUUUACAUUAUAUUUACAUGUUUUAGUGGACAAUGUAUCUGUAAAACUGUAACAUAUUGGAGGGUUUGGUACAUUUUGUUUCAGUUUGCAUAUUCAGUAAAUAAUGUUUUGUUGUAAAAUUGUGAUUUUUCAAAAUAUGAACAUUUUCUUUGACUUGCAAACGAUCACUUUUGUAUUAUAUCCACUUGUGGUUUCAGUAAAUUUGUAAAGUAAACAUCUGGGUAACUAUACAGACAUGUACAUGAUUUUACGUAAUACUUAGUAAAACUAAAAUUACAAAAAAUGUACAUUAUUACAGUCCUUUAAUAUGUAAGGACAAGUAAGUGUGAUUACCAGGUAAAAUAGGUGGGAUGUUUUGCUAAACUAGGUAUAAGCUAUUUGUUAUCAAAGAUUAGCAGAAUGUCAGUGAUAGAUUUUUUGCAAAGUACAUUGUUUGCUAAGCAAGAAACUAAUCAAUUUGAUUAUGUAUCAAGCAAAGUUAUAUGGAACAGGAUCUUACACAUUCACAGACUCUGCUCUCGAUGAAAUGUGGAUGAAAUUGAAGGCUAACAGGUAGCUGUUUGAAUGGAGUUGGUCACAAACAAUGUCUGACAAAUCAAGUCUAACGUCUUUCCUUUGAAGUUUACAAAGAGCUUAUCCCUAGCCAAGCCAGUCAGUGUCGUUGAUUAUGCUACAAACGGAUUUUUUUAUGAAUGCAAAUUAUGUUUAUACAUGAUUUUCUUCUAGAAUUUUCUUGCCUACCAGGUUAUGAUUGUUAUCUUUUGUAAGUUGCCACAUACUUUUAGCAGUCAUGACUCUAAAGAUUGUAGCAUUGUUCCCAGCUUAAUUGAACUUUUAUAAUUUCAAUUAUAAUAGUCAUAUGAAAACUAAGAUAUUUUAAGAAUGAAGUCAUGCUAUGUAAAAAUUGUCAUAUUUACAGAUUGGUAAAUAUUGUUUCAUGUUUGCCUGUAAAUAUAUAUCUGUAUUUUUCCAGGUACUUAUUAACUUUCCAGCAUUCAUAUGUACACUGUACAUGUCGUGAAUAUUGUAUUUGUAAUUAUGAGGGUUCAACAGCUGUGAACUGCACAGUGGAUGCAUUUUUACGUUCAGUUCCAACAUUGAUCGAUGUAUAACAAAUUGACAUCAAAUGACAAUAAAUGUACAUUCUUCAAUAAUUAAACUGAACUUUUUUAGGUACGUAACUAGAUAUUCAGAAACAUUACCUUAAAGACAAUUAAGAUAGGUUUUGUAAUUUUUUAAUUAUUGCUUAAAAAAUCACAUUUUAAAAUUUGUUAAAUUAUUAACAGAAGAUGUUAACCAGACUUCAAACAACUGAUCCAUUGACUUGUCCUUUAGAGUGUAGAAUAUACUGGAUACUGAUAUAACAGACAUUUUCUCAUUUUUGUGUUAUUCCUAGAGAUCAUGAGCUACCAUUGUACGAACAUGGGACAGUUCCAUUAAGUAGGUGAGAUAUGAUUGAGGAGAAAAUGAUUUCAUUUGUUGCAGUUUUCUGAUGUUAGAAGUUAAGUCCACCUUUUUGUAUGAUAAAGAUCACUAUGUUUAUUAUUCAAAAUGUCCCAAUAAGCAUUGCUUUACUUUAAAAUGUUAUUGGUAUAUUUCAGCUGCUCUAAUCAUCUCUUUUUCUGAUGAAAAAAUGUCGGUUUGUAUGUUCUAUGCAGGCUUCGCUAUCAUUUGCAUGGAAAUUCAUUGUGAACAGCCCAUUUGAGUUAUUGGAAUGAUAUAUUGGAUCAUUCCAAUCUAAGAGAUGAUUCUUUUUUACUCAAUAAAACGUAACCAAAUCAGUUCACACACUUUUUGGAUAUUGUGUCGUUUCCUGAAAUGUUUUAUAAAAAAAAAGUAUGUUAUUGCAUCAUUUCCUUCAGGAAGGGAGACAAUUCCACUUCACUGUAUUGCAAGAGCUAACAAAUAGUAAAAAAUAUUGGUAGUCUAGUUAUAGAAAAGGGACCAAAGCUAAGAUGUGUUGAAACUUUUUACCCAAAUCCUGCACAAAGUAUAUAUAUUAUACCACUGUUGUAUUUUCCUGUCAAAGGGUUAAUUAUAUUUUGUACUUGUUUUAGUCAGUGUGGUGCAUUGAUAGCAGGGUCAACUUGAAACAGAAUUGGCUUCAACAGUAAAAUCAGUAACAUUUGUGUUAUUAUAAAUGUAACAGUGACAUAAGAUACCAGUUUCUAGGUUUUUUAGUAGAUGUAUGUGGUACAGCGAUUUCUAUUUUAAUACAUAAUAUGACUUUUUUUAGAGCUGCAAGAACAAAAGCAAGAUUACAAUGGUGUUGACCAAUACUUAAAGUCGCUUUGUAUAAAAAUACCUCUGUUUAUCAAUCAAAAUUUUUGACUGAGUUGAGGAAUAUGAAAAUUUGCGUUGGAACAGGUAUAAGCUCAUACCUCCCAGAUUUUGAACUAUGGAGACGGGUGUCUAUAACCUCCCUGAUUUUGAACUAUGGAGACGGGUGUCUAUAACCUCCCUGAUUUUGAACUAUGGAGACGGGUGUCUAUAACCUCCCUGAUUUUGAACUAUGGAGGCGGGUGUCUAUAACAUUCACAUACAUUUCAAUACAAGUUGCAAUAAAGGAAUAUUUUUCAUUUUUUUCCAUUGAGCAUCAAAAUGAAGUAUAAAUUGUGAAAUCCUGUUUAUCAUUAUCCCAAUGAGAGUUGCAGGGACAGGUGGAAUUUCCAUCGUCCAAUCACGGAAAGCUAGUUCACUAGUGAUGGAAUGAUAGUGUAAAAUACUGGAAAAGGACAUUAUGUAACUGUUGUUUUGGUAAAACGUCUGUAACUGUUAAUUUGGUUAAUUUUGAUUUUUGACAGCAAUUAGGUAAUUCCAUUGUCAUUGUUUCAAUUAAUUUGCAAUAAAAUUCCUGAAAAUUA